AAGCCCCUGGGGGAGAUGCCAUGCUCACUAAGGUGGUUUCCCAGGGUGAGGCUUAUCCAUUGCACUCCUGAUGUGCUGACCCCUGCGCUUUCCCCAAAUGUGGGACACUCGACUGCAUCAUUUGUGGUGGUGGGGGACUGCGUCUGCGCUCUCCCCUG
This is a small nuclear RNA of Echinops telfairi (small Madagascar hedgehog), 158 nucleotides long. RefSeq annotates it as U1 spliceosomal RNA. The record is from RefSeq and is a predicted model, not a curated record. NCBI's taxonomy places the organism in Eukaryota, Metazoa, Chordata, Mammalia, Afrosoricida, Tenrecidae. The transcript has a single exon.